Molecule: RNA transcript, 2349 nt
Organism: Balaenoptera ricei (Rice's whale)
Lineage: Eukaryota; Metazoa; Chordata; Mammalia; Artiodactyla; Balaenopteridae
Gene: DHODH
Gene name: dihydroorotate dehydrogenase (quinone)
Exons: 11
Source: RefSeq, a predicted model, not a curated record
AGGCGGGCCCAGUGGCGGAAGGAGCAUGGCGUGGAGACAGCUCAAAAAGCGGGCCCAGGAUGCCAUGGUGAUCCUGGGGGGCGGAGGACUUCUCUUCGCCUCCUACCUGACGGCCACGGGGGAUGAACGUUUCUACGCGGACCACUUGAUGCCGGCUCUGCAGGGGCUGCUGGACCCCGAGGCAGCCCACAGGCUGGCUGUUCACGUCACCUCCCUGGGGCUCCUUCCUCGUGCCACGUUUCAAGACUCUGACAUGCUGGAAGUGAGAGUCCUGGGCCAUAAAUUCCGAAAUCCAGUAGGAAUCGCUGCAGGAUUUGACAAGCACGGGGAAGCUGUGGAUGGACUUUACAAGAUGGGCUUUGGUUUUGUUGAGAUAGGCAGUGUUACCCCAAAACCUCAGGAAGGAAACCCCAGACCCAGGGUCUUCCGCCUCCCUGAGGACCAAGCCGUCAUUAACAGAUACGGAUUCAACAGUCACGGACUCUCAGUGGUGGAACACAGGUUACGGGCCAGACAGCAGACGCAGGCCAGGCUCACAGAAGAUGGGCUGCCACUGGGAAUAAACCUGGGGAAGAAUAAGACCUCGGUGGACGCUGCCUCGGACUACGCAGAGGGGGUUCGAGUCCUGGGCCCCUUGGCUGACUACCUGGUAGUGAAUGUGUCCAGUCCCAACACGGCUGGGCUGAGGAGCCUUCAGGGAAAGGCCGAGCUGCGCCGCCUGCUGACCAAGGUGCUGCAGGAGAGGAAUGCCCUGAAGGUAGUGCACAAGCCAGCCGUGCUGGUGAAGAUCGCUCCUGACCUCACGGCCCAGGACAAGCAGGAUAUUGCCAGCGUGGUGAGAGAGUUGGGCAUCGAUGGACUGAUUGUCACGAACACCACAGUGAGUCGCCCUGCCAGCCUCCAGGGGGCCCUGCGCUCUGAAAUGGGAGGGCUGAGUGGGAAGCCCCUCCGAGAUUUAUCAACGCAAACCGUCAGGGAGAUGUAUGCACUCACCCAAGGCAGAGUUCCCAUCAUCGGGGUUGGUGGUGUCAGCAGCGGGCAGGAUGCGCUGGAGAAGAUCCGGGCAGGGGCCUCCCUGGUGCAGCUGUACACAGCCCUCACCUACCGGGGGCCGCCCCUGGUGGGCAGAGUCAAGCGGGAGCUGGAGGCCCUUUUGAAGGAGCAGGGUUUUACGAGAGUCACAGAUGCCAUUGGAGCAGAUCAUCGGAGAUAAAAUGAGGGCUUUGAGAGAUUAAAUAACCUCCCCAAACCAGGCAGCUGGGAAUCAGCGGAACUGGGCCCCAGGGCCUGAGUAUCUCCUGAUGAAGAUAGGUGAUGGGACUUGUGGAUCCUUGCUGCUGUGCUGCAAUCUCGGUGAUAGGGGAUACCCUUGGAGAAGUUGAGGGCCAAGAUGCCGUCUUCUCUCUCCACACCCACAAACUCUGAGAUCCACCCUGGCUAAGACUCAGGAUUCAACCCACUACCCUCAGACCCUCUGAACUGACUGGCUCCAGAGUGCCGACAGGAACAGCAUUCCUGUUCAUCAGGACGUGGUCAACCUUAUGUGAAAAAGACUGUGGAACAGCCAAACCAAAUAGAGAAUUACUCUCCCCCAAUUUUUAUUAUAAGACAUUUAGACAUAAGAAGAGUUGAAAGAAUAGUGUAACAAACAUCUAUACCCCCUCCACCUAGACUCAUUAAUUCCUUCUAUCUUUUCCAUGCUUUUCUUACCAAUCUUUUUAAUCUAUUUAUAUACAGUAUUUUGAUGAACCAUUUUGAAGGAAACGGUAGAUGUCAGGACACUUCACUCCUAAGUACUUCAUAGCCUGCAUCUGCUAAAAAUGAGGAUAUGUUCCUAUGAAAACAUAACUCUAUGAUCCCACCUAAGAAAACAGCCAUGAUUUCCUAAUAUCAUCUAACAUUUAGUCCAUAUUCCAAGUUUCCCCAUUCUCCUAAAAAUAACUUCUAGAGUCAAUCAAGACUCACCUGUAUGUUUCUUUAGUCUUUUUAAAUCUGAAGCCGUCACCUCUGAAGACAUCAGGCGAGUUGUCUUAUAAACGGUUCUACAUUCUGGAUUCCCAGAAUAGAGGCUAUAUUUCCUUUAGCCUUUGAUCUCUGCUGUAGCUGCAUGUGGAUAUAUGACCAAAUUCUACUCAGUGAGAUACGUAUGAAAGUACCGUGUGCAACUUCUGGGAAGUCUGCCGCUGCCCGGAUCAUGAUGUCUGGAGCUUUGGCAGCCUUUUUAGACCUGAGGAUCAAGGUCAUUCCAGAGGCAUAAGUUGGAAAGGGCUUCAUACCAGCUCUGUCUGCUUAUUUCCCUACCUCUUUUAUUUGAGGAAAUAAAACCUUGUGUGCUUAAGUCACUGUCAA